Molecule: long non-coding RNA, 341 nt
Organism: Gasterosteus aculeatus aculeatus (three-spined stickleback)
Lineage: Eukaryota; Metazoa; Chordata; Actinopteri; Perciformes; Gasterosteidae
Source: Ensembl
CAGGAAGCGCAUGGCAUAAAAUGUUUGUGGAGAGCUCGGAUGGCCCUCUCACUCGGCCCUGAGGAAAAGGACACUGUGGCCACGGCUCCUAAUCUCCCAGAGACGCAACUGCUCCUCUGACUCCACAUCUGGAGGAGAGUUUCACCCCAGGACCUUGGGUCUGCUAACUUGUAGCACUGGCGACGCAGAGUGUUACAGCUCCUACUUCUGAGGGAAGAAGUCAAAUAUGCUGAACACAAAGUUCAAAACACAUUUAUUACGUGUAGAUGCUGGAUUUAGCAGGAAAAUAUAUCAUUACAAAGUAUGAACCAAACUUGUUUGAGUUAUGGAGGGAAGCCGCU